AGCUAAUUAUCUUAGAAAGAAGUGUACCUUGAAAGUACAAACAUAAAGGUUAAAUUCCUUUAUUAGCUU
RNAcentral lists this transfer RNA (69 nucleotides) under Aradacanthia heissi. RNAcentral's name for it is "tRNA-Ser". It matches the Rfam family "tRNA". From Rfam's summary of the family: Transfer RNA (tRNA) molecules are approximately 80 nucleotides in length. Their secondary structure includes four short double-helical elements and three loops (D, anti-codon, and T loops). Lineage: Eukaryota; Metazoa; Arthropoda; Insecta; Hemiptera; Aradidae. The record is from RNAcentral.